Molecule: ribosomal RNA, 253 nt
Filed under: uncultured bacterium
Lineage: Bacteria
Description: partial 16S ribosomal RNA
Rfam family: Bacterial small subunit ribosomal RNA
Source: RNAcentral
UACGUAGGGUGCGAGCGUUACUCGGAAUUACUGGGCGUAAAGCGUGCGCAGGCGGCGCGUUAAGACAGGUGUGAAAGCCCCGGGCUUAACCUGGGAAUGGCAUUGGAAACUGGCUCGCUGGAGUGUGGCAGAGGGGGGUGGAAUUCCGCGUGUAGCAGUGAAAUGCGUAGAGAUGCGGAGGAACACCAGUGGCGAAGGCGGCUCACUGGCUCGGUACUGACGCUGAGGUGCGAAAGCGUGGGGAGCAAACAGG